GACGAACGCUGGCGGCGUGCUUAACACAUGCAAGUCGAACGGAAAGGCCCUGCUUUUGUGCGUUGCUCGAGUGCCGAACGGGUGAGUAACACGUGAGUAACCUGCCCUUGACUUUGGGAUAACUUCAGGAAACUGGGGCUCAUACCCGAUAUGAGCUCCUGCUGCAUGGUGGUCGUUGGAAAGUUUCGGCGGUUGGGGCUCGACUCGCGGCUUAUCAGCUUGAUGGUCUGGUAGUGGCUUACCAAGGCUUUGACGGGUAGCCGGCCUGAGAGGGUGACCGGGGACAUGGGGACUGAGAGACGCCGCAGAAGCGUACGGGAGGCAGCAGGGGGGAACAUGGCGGAAUGGGGGGAAGUCUGAUGCAGCAACGCCGCGUGCGUGAUGAUGGGUUACGGGUGGUAAACAGAUGUCGCAGGUGAUGAAGAGGGAGUGACGGUAAUGGGUAAAAAAGCAACGGCUAACUACGUG
RNAcentral lists this ribosomal RNA (468 nucleotides) under uncultured bacterium. RNAcentral's name for it is "partial 16S ribosomal RNA". It matches the Rfam family "Bacterial small subunit ribosomal RNA", at positions 28 to 507 of the family's 1533-position model. The record is from RNAcentral.